Molecule: non-coding RNA, 24 nt
Filed under: Cricetulus griseus (Chinese hamster)
Lineage: Eukaryota; Metazoa; Chordata; Mammalia; Rodentia; Cricetidae
Source: RNAcentral
AUGAGGCAGGUGAUCUUUGUGUAA